This is a non-coding RNA of Danio rerio (zebrafish), 74 nucleotides long. NCBI's taxonomy places the organism in Eukaryota, Metazoa, Chordata, Actinopteri, Cypriniformes, Danionidae. The record is from Rfam.
GGCCGGUUAGCUCAGCUAGUUAGAGCGUGGUGCUAAUAACGCCAAGGUCGCGGGUUCGAUCCCCGUACUGGCCA